UUGUCUCAAAGAUUAAGCCAUGCAUGUCUCAGUACAAGCCACAUUAAGGUGAAACCGCGAAAGGCUCAUUAAAUCAGUUAUGGUUCCUUAGAUCGUACCCACUUUUACUUGGAUAACUGUGGUAAUUCUAGAGCUAAUACAUGCAAAUAGAGCUCCGACCGGAGACGGGAGGAGCGCUUUUAUUAGAUCAAAACCAAUCGGUGUCAGGUUCGCUUGACAUCGUACAACUUGGUGACUCUGAAUAACUUUAAGCUGAUCGCACGGUCUCGCACCGGCGACGCAUCUUUCAAAUGUCUGCCUUAUCAACUGUCGAUGGUAGGUUCUGCGCCUACCAUGGUUGUAACGGGUAACGGGGAAUCAGGGUUCGAUUCCGGAGAGGGAGCCUGAGAAACGGCUACCACAUCCAAGGAAGGCAGCAGGCGCGCAAAUUACCCACUCCCGGCACGGGGAGGUAGUGACGAAAAAUAACGAUACGGGACUCAUCCGAGGCCCCGUAAUCGGAAUGAGUACACUCUAAACCCUUUAACGAGGAUCAAUUGGAGGGCAAGUCUGGUGCCAGCAGCCGCGGUAAUUCCAGCUCCAAUAGCGUAUAUUAAAGUUGUUGCGGUUAAAAAGCUCGUAGUCGAAUUUGUGUCCCGCGCCGCCGGUUCAUCGUCCGCGGUGUUAACUGGCGUGUCGCGGAAUGUCCUGCCGGUGGGCUUAGCGCGCAAGUGCGGCCCAAUCAAUCCUGCCACGGUGCUCUUCACUGAGUGUCGAGGUGGGCCGGCACGUUUACUUUGAACAAAUUAGAGUGCUUAAAGCAGGCUAAAACUUCGCCUGAAUACUGUGUGCAUGGAAUAAUGGAAUAGGACCUCGGUUCUAUUUUGUUGGUUUUCGGAACUCCGAGGUAAUGAUUAAUAGGAACGGAUGGGGGCAUUCGUAUUGCGACGUUAGA
RNAcentral lists this ribosomal RNA (934 nucleotides) under Afrocyrona sp. G0065. RNAcentral's name for it is "SSU rRNA". It matches the Rfam family "Eukaryotic small subunit ribosomal RNA", at positions 32 to 909 of the family's 1831-position model. The record is from RNAcentral. Lineage: Eukaryota; Metazoa; Arthropoda; Insecta; Coleoptera; Lophocateridae.